This 253-nucleotide ribosomal RNA is filed under the name uncultured bacterium. RNAcentral's name for it is "partial 16S ribosomal RNA". It matches the Rfam family "Bacterial small subunit ribosomal RNA", at positions 524 to 776 of the family's 1533-position model. The record is from RNAcentral.
UACAGAGGUCCCGAGCGUUGUUCGGAUUCACUGGGCGUAAAGGGUGCGUAGGUGGCGCGCUAAGUCAGGUGUGAAAUUUCGGAGCUUAACUCCGAAACUGCAUUUGAUACUGGCGUGCUUGAGGACUGGAGAGGAGACUGGAAUUCACGGUGUAGCAGUGAAAUGCGUAGAUAUCGUGAGGAAGACCAGUGGCGAAGGCGGGUCUCUGGACAGUUCCUGACACUGAGGCACGAAGGCCAGGGGAGCAAACGGG